UCCCUCGUGGCGCAAUUGGCUAGCGCGUCAGACUGUUACUUCCCCUUAAGUAAAUAAUCGCUUAAGGAGAACAAGCGGAAUCUGGAGGCUGUAAGUUCGAUCCUUACCGAGGGAG
Molecule: non-coding RNA, 115 nt
Organism: Cercophora newfieldiana
Lineage: Eukaryota; Fungi; Ascomycota; Sordariomycetes; Sordariales; Lasiosphaeriaceae
Source: the annotation of a GenBank genome assembly